This 400-nucleotide unclassified non-coding RNA is filed under the name soil metagenome. RNAcentral describes it as "partial contains 5.8S ribosomal RNA, internal transcribed spacer 2, and large subunit ribosomal RNA". The stretch from base 1 to 122 matches the Rfam family "5.8S ribosomal RNA", at positions 35 to 154 of the family's 154-position model. The record is from RNAcentral.
GAUGAAGAACGUAGCGAAAUGCGAUACUUGGUGUGAAUUGCAGAAUCCCGUGAACCAUCGAGUCUUUGAACGCAAGUUGCGCCUCAAGCCAUUAGGUUGAGGGCACGUCUGCCUGGGCGUCACAUAUCGUUGCCUGAUGCCAGUUUCCUCGUGAUGGGUGACUGUGCAGGGCGAAUGAUGGCUUCCCGUGAGCAUUGUUGCCUCAUGGUUGGUUGAAAAUUGAGUCCUUGGUAGGGAGCGCCGUGCUAGAUGGUGGUUGAGUGACGAACGAGACCCAAUCAUGUGAGACCCCUACCGAAUUUGGCCUUCAUGACCCACAUGCGUCUUUGGAACGCUCAUGACGAGACCUCAGGUCAGGCGGGGCUACCCGCUGAGUUUAAGCAUAUCAAUAAGCGGAGGA